Oryza brachyantha (malo sina) is the source of this 1455-nucleotide long non-coding RNA. RefSeq lists it as uncharacterized. Lineage: Eukaryota; Viridiplantae; Streptophyta; Magnoliopsida; Poales; Poaceae. The transcript is spliced from 3 exons. The record is from RefSeq and is a predicted model, not a curated record.
UCUGUUGUUCCUGCAAUGAUUUAUGAACCUACAGUAUUUCACGAAGCAGCUAUAUCGUGUUGACCAAGAUGAAGGGGGAAGAGAGAACUUGCCACAGGUAAAGACAAUAGAAGGAUAAGCAUGAAAGGGUUUUACAGCAGUAAGCAUUUGCACUUCCAUAAUACUUAAGUACAUAGCAUUUUAAUUGGCUAUCUAGAUUGAUCCCAAACCUGUAGAAUAUCAAGUAUAGGUCUGCUAUUUAGGACGGAAGCUUGACACAUCAGAAAGGAGCAGUUCUGCAAUUUAUUCUUUGGACUAUUUUCUGUCAUGCUGAAAGACCUUGAGCUUAUCUUUAUAAGGAUCUCAGAUGGCACAAUCUUAUCACUCUGAUGGUUGUAACUGAAGUAUGGACACUAUUAGGAGUAAUCAUGAGGCUAUCAAAUUUCUCCAGCUGGUCAUUGCGGCCUUGAAAUGGUGUUGGCCGUUGCUACAAUGGGAGCACCCAGAACAUGCAUGCUGCCAUGGUGCCGACUGAAGCCAGUGCAGGACAAGAUGAACGACCACUGUGUUCAGAACUGUCACAGGGUGUCAAGGUGAGGAUGGAAGAACAUCAUCUUUUUGGGUAGACGAUUGGCUCCCUAGACUGUGGGACGGCUGCUAAUCUGGCAACCAAUCCUCUUCACUUCUGUCGAACUGGGCAAAAAGACAGUGGUGGGCAGCUCUGGAGAGUGACAAUUGGAUGGGAGACCCUUCAACAUAUGCGGCUGCAACAACAUGUGCUUCAUAUUAUUGAAUGGAAACUGUCGAGCAAUGGAUAGUACUGUCUGUUCUUUAUGCCCCGAAUACAGGUAAACUGCUUCAAGAUGAACUGGAAAGUGAAGGCCCAUGUUAAUUACAAGUGCUUCGUGUAAUCAUGCACUUGGUCAUCCUGGGGUCAUGUAUCACAGCAGCGUCUCACAAUCAAGCACUGAGGCUGAACACAGUGCUGCUGCUGCUACAGAGUUGGUUUGGGUGCAGUGCCUGCACAAGGAACUUGGUUUUUAUUAGAUUCAGCUCCCUCGUCAAUGCUGUGAUAAUCUUGAAACCACUUACUUGAUGGUGAUAAUGCUGUUCAGGUGUGCCUUUCCAUUUUGGCAUCAACCUACUUUGGCUGGGAUGAAAGAGCAAAAGGCUACUACUUAGUUCUAGUAUUCAGGGAAUAGAGAACAGACAGUGAGACUUGUGCCUGGCUGAAAUGCUAUGGCAUGCAAACUGAAUUAUCCAUCCAAACUAGAGAGUACCCAAUAAAGCUAUUUUUGUUAGAUGAUGGAACUUUGUUUAUACGCAGAAAAACGUGCUGAGUUUACAAAAUGCUGUCUUGAUUGGAGGCUAAUGGAUCAGUUUGGGGUUAAAAAGUGUUUUUUCCAAUAAAAAGGAGUUAGAUCUUACUUGAGUGUGUACAAUCAAAACAGGAAUCAUAUGUAGCAUAUAAGUGAA